GGAUUAGAUACCCUGGUAGUCCACGCCGUAAACGAUGUCUACUCGGAGUUUGGUGUCUUGAACACUGGGCUCUCAAGCUAACGCAUUAAGUAGACCGCCUGGGGAGUACGGCCGCAAGGUUAAAACUCAAAUGAAUUGACGGGGGCCCGCACAAGCGGUGGAGCAUGUGGUUUAAUUCGAUGCAACGCGAAGAACCUUACCUACUCUUGACAUCCACGGAAUUUGGUAGAGAUACCUUAGUGCCUUCGGGAACCGUGAGACAGGUGCUGCAUGGCUGUCGUCAGCUCGUGCCG
RNAcentral lists this ribosomal RNA (293 nucleotides) under uncultured bacterium. RNAcentral's name for it is "partial 16S ribosomal RNA". It matches the Rfam family "Bacterial small subunit ribosomal RNA", at positions 775 to 1067 of the family's 1533-position model. The record is from RNAcentral.